UGCCGCUGUCAGAACUCAUUAAAUCGCACAUUAAUUAGAUGCAACUUGCUGUGUGUCAGUCACACCUAAUUAAAACU
Sapajus apella (tufted capuchin) is the source of this 77-nucleotide long non-coding RNA. RefSeq lists it as uncharacterized. The record is from RefSeq and is a predicted model, not a curated record. NCBI's taxonomy places the organism in Eukaryota, Metazoa, Chordata, Mammalia, Primates, Cebidae. The transcript has 3 exons.